This 459-nucleotide ribosomal RNA is filed under the name uncultured bacterium. RNAcentral's name for it is "partial 16S ribosomal RNA". It matches the Rfam family "Bacterial small subunit ribosomal RNA", at positions 338 to 795 of the family's 1533-position model. The record is from RNAcentral.
CCUACGGGAGGCAGCAGUGAGGAAUAUUGGUCAAUGGCCGAAAGGCUGAACCAGCCAAGUCGCGUGCGGGAUGACGGCCCUACGGGUUGUAAACCUCUUUUGCCCGGGAGCAACGCGCGUGACGCGUCCCGCCUCGAGAGUACCCGGCGAAUAAGGACCGGCUAAUUCCGUGCCAGCAGCCGCGGUAAUACGGAGGGUGCGAGCGUUAUCCGGAUUUAUUGGGGUUAAAGGGGGCGUAGGCGGAAGUUCAAGUCAGCGGUAAAAUUUCGGGGCUCAACCCCGUCGUGCCGUUGAAACUGGGGUUCUUGAGUGGGCGAGAAGCAGGCGGAAUUCGUGGUGUAGCGGUGAAAUGCUUAGAUAUCGCGCAGAACCCCGAUUGCGAAGGCAGCGUGCCGGCGCGACACUGACGCUGAGGCACGAAAGCGUGGGUAUCGAACAGGAUUAGAUACCCGUGUAGUC